Molecule: transfer RNA, 72 nt
Filed under: Treponema porcinum
Lineage: Bacteria; Pseudomonadati; Spirochaetota; Spirochaetia; Treponematales; Treponemataceae
Rfam family: tRNA
About the family: Transfer RNA (tRNA) molecules are approximately 80 nucleotides in length. Their secondary structure includes four short double-helical elements and three loops (D, anti-codon, and T loops).
Source: Rfam by way of RNAcentral
GUCUCCCUCGUCUAGUGGUCAGGACAUCGGGUUUUCAUCCCGACAACAUGGGUUCAAUUCCCGUGGGAGAUG